GUCACGGUGCCAGAGUGGUUAAUGGGUAAGACUUGAAUUCCGAGAAUUCUAGCCAUCUUAUGGCUUCGGCCGCGCAAGUUCAAAUCUUGUCCGUGACG
Molecule: non-coding RNA, 98 nt
Organism: Glutinoglossum americanum
Lineage: Eukaryota; Fungi; Ascomycota; Geoglossomycetes; Geoglossales; Geoglossaceae
Source: the annotation of a GenBank genome assembly